GUGAGGAAUAUUGGUCAAUGGGCGGGAGCCUGAACCAGCCAAGUCGCGUGAAGGAAGAAGGAUCUAUGGUUCGUAAACUUCUUUUGCAGGGGAAUAAAGUGCAGGACGUGUCCUGUUUUGUAUGUACCCUGAGAAUAAGGAUCGGCUAACUCCGUGCCAGCAGCCGCGGUAAUACGGAGGAUCCGAGCGUUAUCCGGAUUUAUUGGUUUUAAAGGGUGCGUAGGUGGUUUGAUAAGUCAGCGGUGAAAGUUUGCAGCUUAACUGUAAAAAUGCCGUUGAAACUGUCGGACUUGAGUGUAAAUGAGGUAGGCGGAAUGCGUGGUGUAGCGGUGAAAUGCAUAGAUAUCACGCAGAACUCCGAUUGCGAAGGCAGCUUACUAAGCUACAACUGACACUGAAGCACGAAAGCGUGGGGAUCAAACAGGAUUAGAAACCCUGGUAGUCC
This 445-nucleotide ribosomal RNA is filed under the name uncultured bacterium. RNAcentral describes it as "partial 16S ribosomal RNA". It matches the Rfam family "Bacterial small subunit ribosomal RNA", at positions 354 to 796 of the family's 1533-position model. The record is from RNAcentral.